Non-coding RNA from Pelobates cultripes (western spadefoot toad), 389 nucleotides. The record is from the annotation of a GenBank genome assembly. Lineage: Eukaryota; Metazoa; Chordata; Amphibia; Anura; Pelobatidae.
UGUUUGGGGGAUUGGAAGCUAUAAUCACUCUGUUUCAGCGGGAUUUCGGGAGAAGCUACAAGGAUCAGCACUGCACGAAUAGAAGGAUCCUUUACAUGCCCUAUCAACUUUCGAUGGACUUUCUGCACCUACCUUGGUGACCAUGGGUAAUGGGGAAUCAGGGUUCGAUUACAGAGAGGGAGCCUGAGAAACGGCUACCACAUCCAAGGAAGGCGGCAGGCGCGCAAAUUACCCACUCCCGACAAGGUGAGGUAGUGACGACAAAUAACAAUACAGGACUCUUUAGAUGCCUUGUAAUUGUAAUGAGUCCACUUAAAUCCUUUAACUAGGAUCAAUUAGAGGGCAAGUCUGGUGCAGAGCGACUGACCCGUGCGUGCUGCAGCUGAAAC